UACAGAGGGGGCAAGCGUUGUCCGGAUUUACUGGGCGUACAGCGCGCGCAGGCGGUUACGUAUGUGAGCGGUGACAUCCGCGGGCUCAACCCGCGGCGGCCCGCUUACACAGCGCGACUGGAGGCAGGGAGAGGGAUGUGGAAUACCCGGAGGAGCGGUGAAAUGCGUAGAGAUCGGGUGGAACACCAGCGGCGAAGGCGGCAUCCUGGCCCUGACCUGACGCUGAGGCGCGAUAGCGUGGGGAGCAAACGGG
Molecule: ribosomal RNA, 253 nt
Filed under: uncultured bacterium
Lineage: Bacteria
Description: partial 16S ribosomal RNA
Rfam family: Bacterial small subunit ribosomal RNA
Source: RNAcentral